RNAcentral lists this ribosomal RNA (2362 nucleotides) under bioreactor metagenome. Its description in RNAcentral is "bacterial LSU rRNA". It matches the Rfam family "Bacterial large subunit ribosomal RNA", at positions 15 to 2306 of the family's 2925-position model. The record is from RNAcentral.
GGGGCGCACGGUGGAUGCCUAGGCACUGAUGGCCGAUGAAGGGCGUGGCAAGCUGCGAUAAGCCGCGGGGAGCUGCAAGCGGGCUUCGAUCCGCGGAUUCCCGAAUGGGGAAACCUGGCUCGGCAAACCCGAGUCACCUAGCCUUUGCUAGGGGGAUACCCGGCGAAGUGAAACAUCUCAGUAGCCGGAGGAAAGGAAAUCGAAAGAGAUACCCCAAGUAGUGGUGAGCGAAAGGGGUGUAGCCUAAACCGAUCGCGUGCUAAAGCCUGCGGGCGUUGCGCGGUCGGGGUUGAGGGAGCGUACCGGGCCUAACCGCAGGUAGGCCGGGCAGUUACAAACCGCAUGGUUAGUCGAACGGUGUUGGAAAAGCCGGCCAUAGAGGGUGAAAGCCCCGUAGGCGAAAGUCAUGCGGCUGCCUGGGUGCGCAUCCCAAGUAAGCCGGAGCACGCGGAAUUCUGGCUGAAUCCGGGCCGACCACGGUCCAAGGCUAAAUACCAUCAGUGACCGAUAGCGCAUAGUACCGAGAGGGAAAGGUGAAAAGAACCCCUGGCGGGGAGUGAAAUAGACCUGAAACCGUGUGCCCACAAGCUGUCGGAGCCUGACUUGAAGGCAACUUCAAGCCGGGUGACGGCGUGCCUAUUGAAGAAUGAGCCGGCGAGUUGUAGCGCGUGGCGAGGUUAAGGGCGUAAACGUCCGAAGCCGUAGGGAAACCGAGUCCGAAUAGGGCGCUAGUCGCGCGUUGCAGACCCGAAGCCGUACGAUCUAUCCAUGGCCAGGUUGAAGUCCGGGUGACACCGGAUGGAGGACCGAACCAGUUGGUGUUGCAAAACCAUUGGAUGAGCUGUGGAUAGGAGUGAAAAGCUAAUCGAGUACGGUGAUAGCUGGCUCUCCCCGAAAUGCAUUUAGGUGCAGCCUCCUGUGUUCAGUGGUGGAGGUAGAGCACUGGAUGGGUGAGGGGGGUGAUGACCCUACCGAGCUCAACUAAACUCCGAAUGCCACCACUUAAUAGCAGGGGAGUGAGACCGUGGGGGAGAAGCUUCACGGUCGAAAGGGAAACAGCCCAGACCGACGGCUAAGGUCCCAAACGCGAGCUAAGUGUUAUAAGGAUGUGGAAGAGCUUAGACAGCCAGGAGGUUGGCUUAGAAGCAGCCAUCCUUGAAAGAGUGCGUAAUAGCUCACUGGUCGAGCGCUUCUGCGCCAAAAAUGUAGGGGGCUAAGCUCGCGACCGAAGCCUCGGAUCCGAAGACUUAGGUCUUUGGAUGGUAGGGGAGCGUUCCUGUCGGGUCGAAGUCGCAUCGUGAGGUGCGGUGGACUGGCAGGAAGUGAGAAUGCCGGUAUGAGUAGCGUUAAAGCAAGUGAAAGACUUGCUCACCGGAAGCCCAAGGGUUCCUGGGGAAGGGAAUCCGCCCAGGGUUAGGCGGGGCCUAAGGCGUAGCCGAAGGGCGAAGCUGAUGGACAGCCGGUAGACAUUCCGGCCCCACCUUGGCAACGUUUGUACCGAAGGGGUGACGCAGGGAGCUAGGCGCGCUGGGCGAUGGAAUGCCCAGUCCAAGGGAGUAGGGGGAGCUUUCAGGCAAAUCCGGAAGCUCGUUAACCCCGAGACCUGAUGGGGAGCCUUAAUUAUAAGGCGAAGGCGUUGACGCUGCACUGCCAAGAAAAGCCUCUAGGGAGGAGUCAGGGUGCCCGUACCCUAAACCGACACAGGUGGGCUGGUUGAGCAGACUGAAGGUGGACGGGAUAACUCUCGCUAAGGAACUCUGCAAGUUGACCCCGUAACCUAGGGAGAAGGGGUGCCCGCGUUAGGUGAACUCUUUUACAGGGCUAGCCGAGGCGGGUGGCAGAAACCAGGUCCAGGCGACUGUUUAAUAAAAACACAGGGCUCUGCUAAAGGCGAAAGCCGAUGUAUAGGGCCUGACACCUGCCCGGUGCCGGAAGGUUAAGGGGAGGGGUUAGCCAAAGCGAUUUGGCGAAGCUCCAAACUGAAGCCCCGGUAAACGGCGGCCGUAACUAUAACGGUCCUAAGGUAGCGAAAUUCCUUGUCGGGUAAGUUCCGACCUGCACGAAAGGUGUAACGAUCUGGACGCUGUCUCAGCGAGAGACCCGGUGAAAUUGUGGGACCGGUAAAGACGCCGGUUACCCGUGGUGGGACGGGAAGACCCCGUGGAGCUUUACUGUAGCCUGACAUUGAAUUUCGGUACGUCAUGUACAGGAUAGGUGGGAGGCUGUGAAGCUGAGGCGCCAGCCUCAGUGGAGCCGCCCUUGGGAUACCACCCUUGACGUGCUGGGGUUCUAACCGCGAAAGCGGGACCGUGUCAGGUGGGCAGUUUGACUGGGGCGGUCGCCUCCUAAAGAGUAACGGAGG